UGCAGUUAAACGCUCGUAGUUGGAGGUUUGUUGGGAGCCAAAGACCUUGCAGGCAAGGGAUCUUGGAACAGUCCAACAGAACAAUGGGGUAAGGUUUCUGGGCUUCGAUGCGUGUUACGAUCUCCAGUAUUUUUACUUUGAAGAAAAUGGUACGUUACAGGCAGGCACGCGUCCCGGACACAUUAGCAUGGAAUAAAUGCAAUAACUUCGGGGCGGUGUUGUUGGUUAUGGCGCCUGAAGAAUUGUAAUGAGGAUGGUUGAGGGCAUUCGUAUUUGACAAUCAGGGGUGAAAUUCUAGGACUUGUUAAAGGCGGACUUUUGCGAAAGCAUUUGUCAAGAAUGUUUUUGUUGAUCAAGAACAAUAGUCAGGGGAUCAAAGGUGAUUAGAUACCGCCGUAGUCCUAACCAUAAACUAUAUCCACUAGAAAUUGGAAUGACCCAAAGGGUGAUUUCGGCAACUCCAGAGAAGUCAAAGCUUUCGGAUUCCGGGGGGAGUAUGGUCGCAAGUCUGAAACUUAAAGGAAUUGACGGAAGGACACCACCAGGAGUGGAGCCUGCGGCUUAAUUUGACUCAACACGGGAAAUCUUACUAGACCUUGACAUCAACAGGAUUGACAGAUUGAUUGUUUUUUCAUAAUUUUAUGGGUGGUGGUGCAUGGCCGUUCUUAGUUGGUGGAGUGAUUUGUCUGGUUAAUUCUGUUAACGAACGAGAUCCCAAUCUACUAAAUAGCUUUUCGGUUUUCUAUUGAUUGAAAAACUUCUUAGAGGUACCUUUUGUGUACUACAGAAGGAAGGGUGAGGCAAUAACAGGUCUGUGAUGCCCUUAGAUAAUCUGGGAUGCA
Molecule: ribosomal RNA, 842 nt
Filed under: uncultured eukaryote
Lineage: Eukaryota
Description: bacterial SSU rRNA
Rfam family: Eukaryotic small subunit ribosomal RNA
Source: RNAcentral